CACUGAGGUGGAGAGAACAUAUGUUUAACACAGUAUCGGGCUGCCUGUGGAAUGGAGCUCACAGCAUCCGAGCAAAGAAACCAGACAAGAGUAGACCAGGGGAUCAGCCAGAACAUUCUUUGAUCUGUUUCAUUGGGGAGGAGAAUCCAUGGUUCCCUAAAAGCCACCAAAGCCACACUGAGGAAUGUGAUGGAGUCAUAGAAGCCCAACUGAUUUUCAAAGGAUGUGGCCAAUGAUCCCUGAUCGUCUUUUACCAGACUGGAGAAGUAAAAGACCAGUUUCCUUAAGAACAACUUGGAGAAGUGAGGUUACUUGAAAAAAACAUAUAAUACAUCCUAUGAAAAUGGUAAAUAUUUCCAGAAUCCCUUUGGCUUAAUUUCUAUUCUCUAGAAAACUCCACAAUAUGUGU
Phascolarctos cinereus (koala) is the source of this 409-nucleotide non-coding RNA. Lineage: Eukaryota; Metazoa; Chordata; Mammalia; Diprotodontia; Phascolarctidae. The record is from RefSeq and is a predicted model, not a curated record.